RNAcentral lists this long non-coding RNA (3376 nucleotides) under Malus domestica (apple). RNAcentral's name for it is "long non-coding RNA (MDOM_LNC003012)". Lineage: Eukaryota; Viridiplantae; Streptophyta; Magnoliopsida; Rosales; Rosaceae. The record is from RNAcentral.
GAAAUAUCGGUAGUCCAAAAACAUGGAAAUUUCAAUAGAAAUAUUAGAAUAUUAUCGAUAUCGAUAAAAAUUGAAUAAAAACCACGGAAAUUAUAAGAAAACAUGGAAAUUUUUAUUGAAACUUUGGAGAAUGUUUAUUUAGUCAAUUAUCUAUUAGUUUAUCAAAAAAAAAUUAGAAGGAAAUGCAUUACAUGAUAGAUUUAACUGAUUUAAAUUGAUUAUACAGCGAGCUAGCAAACACUGUGAGUGUAGAAAAUAUGUAGUAAUUAAUGAAAAAAAGAUUAAAUACACCAUAAUCAUUUAUAUAUAAUGAUUUACUACAAUAUUUUACACUUUAUACAUUGCAUGGUAAGAUACAUGAGUGAUUUAGUACCACAUAAAGUUCCUAUGAGGUUCAAAAUUUUCACAAUCUUCAUCAUCUCUAUGUGUAGAGUAAGUUUAUUGUGAAGAGUAUUCAUCAAAUGAUAAAUCCCCAAAAUAGUUUUGCAUGUAAUUGUUAACAUGUCACUCAUAUAAAUAUAAAUAUUUUAGCAUAUUAUCACUAAAACAUAAGUGAUAUAUGGUGGUUACGAUGUUGGAGGAGUAAAAUGGGAGGGGUUCAAAUCACCUUUGUGUUUUGUUUUCCUCCUUUUUUUCCCUUUUUUUCCUUUUUUUUUUCUUUUUUUUUUCCUUCCUUUACAUCGAUAUUUUCGAUAUUUUAGCGAUAUUACACCGAUAUUUUGACAAAAUAUUGCUAAAGUGUGAGCGAAAUUAUUGACAUCGAUAUUUUCCGAUAUUGUCGAUAUUUGUACAAUAUGUACAUGGAUAUGUUCCGAAAUAUCCGUGAUUCGAAAAAAAUGAAAUAUCCUCGAUAUUUCGUCGAUAUUAUCGAUAUUUCAGACUAUGGUCUUACCAAACCAAGUGUCUAUAAAAGCUAUUAGAAACAAAAAAAAAAUCGAUAUUUUCCGAUAUUAUAUAUUGUCGAUAUUUGUACGAUAUGUACUGGAUAUGUUCCGAAAUAUCCGUGAUUCGAAAAAACCGAAAUAUCCUCGAUAUUUCGUCGAUACUAUCGAUAUUUCAGACUAUAGUCUUACCGAACCAAGUGUCUAUAAAAGCUAUCAAAAACAAACAAACAAAAAAAAAAAAAAUAUAUAUAUAUAUAUAUAUAUACUGAAAAUAUGACUUUAGCCUGUGAAAUUUAAUUUUCUCCACAUAAAACCCAUCAUAAUUUUUUUUACUCAAAUAAAACCCAUUAAUUAGAUUCUACAUCAGCAAAUUCAUUAAUUAUAUUUGACUUUACACAUUUAAAAAUUUUCAAUGCCCAAAACACCCCUAUUUGAAUGUUUGAUGUACACAAUUAGUUCCAUAUAGAUUGUAAGGGAGAAUUAAUGAUAUUACGAAAAUAAUAAAUAAUAAAUUUAUUGCCUAAUAUAUAAUAACAACAAAACAUGCCUAAUAUAUGUAAUAAUACAUGCUUAGUUAAGUGAACAAAUUAUAUUUUACAUAUAAAUGUAGGUAAAUUAUUUCACACACAUAUAUAUAACAAAAAUUAAAAAUAAAAAAAUGCCUAGUAUACGUAAAAAUUCAUGCAAAAUAAUUUACCUACAAAAAAUGUUAUUUGAUUCAGUGCACCUACUAUUCAAAUUUUAAAAUGUUAGAUUGCUUAAAAAAACCAAAAUAAUUUCCCCACUGUAUGUAAAAUACAUGCAAAAUAAUUUACCUACAUAAUAAAGCAAACCUAAUGUAUGCAAAAUAAUGUACCUACAUAAAAAAAUAUUAUUAUUUUAUUAAAAACUAUUUUACCUAUUAUUUUGUACAUAUAAUAAUAAAAUGUGCCCAAUAUAUAUGAUGAUACAUACAAAAUAAUAUACCUACAAAAUAUAUGUUAUUUGCUCAUCAUAAAUUUACAUAUAGGUAGAUUAAUUAGUAUAAUAUGUUUGAUCAUAUAUCUAUUGUGCAUACAUAUGUACAUACAUACAUAUACAUAUAUAUAUUGAGCUUGUGGUAGUACUAUAUACAUUUGAACGUAUAUAUGUGUAUAUAUAUAUAUAUGUGUGUGUGUGUGUGUGUGUGUGUUAGGGGUAAUAAUAUGCAAUAAAUUAUUUGUUCAUUGUAAUUAAGGUGAGUAAUAAUAUUUAUUGAUUUAUUUUGAAUAUUGUGGUACAAGUUAUAAAUAUUUUGUAUUAAUAGGUCAAUUACUUUCCUACAUGGUAAUCACUUUUAAAUUUGAGUUUUAUUUGAAUGUUUAUAAUUAGGUGGGUUUUUAUAUAGGAAAUAAGAGUUACAAGGUGUAUAUAUAUAUUAAAAUGAAAGACCAGGAAAGUACGACGAGCUCAAACCAACUACGAAACUCUAAUAUAGGAAAAUUCAUUAGAACAACCUCUAAAAGAAUGAGAAGCUUGAAAGCUACAAAGAUCAUGAACAAAAGCUACACCAGCAGAUGGAGGAAGCCUGACAACACAAAGAGCAAACUGACGAAAAAUGAGAAUCCCUGAUAAAGAAAUAAAUUAUUAGUUAAAAGUUUUCCAUGACUACUUCUCUCCUUUUGUGAGAGCGUUCUCUUCUUCUGUGAGAGAUGCUUUCCCUCUUUUGGUAAGGGUUUCCCACUUGACCAUACUCUCCGGCGCCGACUCUUGCUUCUGCUGGAGUCGGUUGCCCUUUUUCCCCUCCUUCUGUUCUCUCCUCUUUUCCCCAUCUCUGGCGUGCCUUCUCUCAUCUUUUCUUCUUCUUAUUUUCUUUUCGCUUCUCCUAAUGUUCUUCCCAAAUUUUACCUCUAGCCUGCCCUGUUCUUCUCUUCCCUCAGAGUAGAGGGUAACGAAGUCGCUCGACUGAAAUGAGAGGGUAACGAGACGGAAGAUGUGAUAGUUCGGGGUGUCAACUAGAGCAAGCUAUCCCGCAUGGAACGAGUGAAGAUCAUACUUGCGCUAUGCUAUGAUCUUUUUUCCUAAAAAAAAAGGGUGGAAACGACAUGCAAAGAAGUUACGAUAUGCCUUGUUCGAUUCAACAUCUCAUUAAAAAAAAUGAGGUUUAUGCUUUUUAUCAAAAACGACAAAGCGACUUUCCCAUCACAGAAGUCGAUAUUCUGGCCAUUCAAAACGCCCUUUUAAACGGAAGUUCAAAAUUUCGCAUUUUGAGAAAGGACAUAUCUUACAUAAACCAUUGGCUCUGAUACCACUGGAAGGGAAAUUUAUGAGAUUUCAUGUGGGAUUUCUAGUGACUAGCAUGCAUAUACAAUUCAAGAUUUAUAUACGAAAGCAACGGAAGCAUGUUAUCAAAUAAUAUCAAAGCUCUAGUCAUGCAAAUCCCCUUCAAGAUGCAUAGGUUCAUGUAAGAUGCAUCAAAAACAAAUUCAUAUAAAAGAACAAAGUUUAGGAGUAGUUUUUAUACCUCUUGAUCU